GGACCAAUACUAAAACCUUGGCUCAUCUUGAAGAGAAAUGAAGACACAAAAAUCAUGCUGAAUAGGAUUACACUGAGGCU
This is a small nucleolar RNA of Trichechus manatus latirostris (Florida manatee), 80 nucleotides long. RefSeq annotates it as small nucleolar RNA SNORD115. NCBI's taxonomy places the organism in Eukaryota, Metazoa, Chordata, Mammalia, Sirenia, Trichechidae. The transcript has a single exon. The record is from RefSeq and is a predicted model, not a curated record.